CCUACGGGAGGCUGCAGUGGGGAAUAUUGGACAAUGGGGGCAACCCUGAUCCAGCCAUGCCGCGUGUGUGAAGAAGGCCCUCGGGUUGUAAAGCACUUUCAGUGAGGAAGAACGCCUGGUGGUUAAUACCCUUCAGGAAAGACAUCACUCACAGAAGAAGCACCGGCUAACUCCGUGCCAGCAGCCGCGGUAAUACGGAGGGUGCGAGCGUUAAUCGGAAUUACUGGGCGUAAAGCGCGCGUAGGUGGCUUGAUAAGCCGGUUGUGAAAGCCCCGGGCUCAACCUGGGAACGGCAUCCGGAACUGUCAAGCUAGAGUGCAGGAGAGGAAGGUAGAAUUCCCGGUGUAGCGGUGAAAUGCGUAGAGAUCGGGAGGAAUACCAGUGGCGAAGGCGGCCUUCUGGACUGACACUGACACUGAGGUGCGAAAGCGUGGGUAGCAAACAGGAUUAGAUACCCGUGUAGUC
This 465-nucleotide ribosomal RNA is filed under the name Vreelandella stevensii. RNAcentral's name for it is "partial 16S ribosomal RNA". It matches the Rfam family "Bacterial small subunit ribosomal RNA", at positions 338 to 795 of the family's 1533-position model. Lineage: Bacteria; Pseudomonadati; Pseudomonadota; Gammaproteobacteria; Oceanospirillales; Halomonadaceae. The record is from RNAcentral.